UUGACCUAUAAAUGAGAAUCGUUAUGAUUAUCACAACUGGUCGCGAGACUGGUUGGAUAACCUGAAAAGUCCUUGGUUCGGACGCUCAGAUUAUCUCCUCAUCAGGCUAAUCACGGUUAUUGACCCGGCACUUUGCCGGGUCUUUUUUGC
Molecule: small RNA, 150 nt
Filed under: Pseudomonas guariconensis
Lineage: Bacteria; Pseudomonadati; Pseudomonadota; Gammaproteobacteria; Pseudomonadales; Pseudomonadaceae
Description: PrrF RNA
Rfam family: PrrF RNA
About the family: PrrF RNA is a small RNA involved in iron homeostasis and is found exclusively in Pseudomonas species. Their expression is induced under iron limitation by the ferric uptake regulator (Fur) and they act to negatively regulate several genes including sodB and sdh.
Source: RNAcentral